Molecule: ribosomal RNA, 489 nt
Filed under: uncultured bacterium
Lineage: Bacteria
Description: partial 16S ribosomal RNA
Rfam family: Bacterial small subunit ribosomal RNA
Source: RNAcentral
AUUGAACGCUGGCGGCAUGCUUUACACAUGCAAGUCGAACGGCAGCACGAAAGAGCUUGCUCUUUUGGUGGCGAGUGGCGAACGGGUGAGUAAUGCAUCGGAACGUACCGAGUAAUGGGGGAUAACUGUCCGAAAGGAUAGCUAAUACCGCAUACGCUUUGAGAAGGAAAGUGGGGGCUCUUCGGACCUCACGUUAUUCGAGCGGCCGAUGUCUGAUUAGCUAGUUGGUGGGGUAAAGGCCUACCAAGGCGACGAUCAGUAGCGGGUCUGAGAGGAUGAUCCGCCACACUGGGACUGAGACACGGCCCAGACUCCGACGGGAGGCAGCAGUGGGGAAUUUUGGACAAUGGGCGCAAGCCUGAUCCAGCCAUGCCGCGUGUCUGAAGAAGGCCUUCGGGUUGUAAAGGACUUUUGUUAGGGAAGAAAAGGAUAGUGUUAAUACCAUUAUCUGCUGACGGUACCUAAAGAAUAAGCACCGGCUAACUACGU